UACAGAGGGAUGCUACCGGGCGACCGGAUGCGGAUCUCGAAAGCCUGUCCCAGUUCGGACUGGAGUCUGCAACCCGACUCCACGAAGUUGGAUUCGCUAGUAAUCGCGCAUCAGCCAUGGCGCGGUGAAUACGUUCCCGGGUCUUGUACACACCGCCCGUCACACCACGGAAGUUGGGGCGCCCGAAGUCUGUGACCGAACCGAAAGGAAGGAGCAGCCGAAGGCAGGUCGGAUGACUGGGGUGAAGUCGUAACAAGGUACC
RNAcentral lists this ribosomal RNA (262 nucleotides) under uncultured bacterium. Its description in RNAcentral is "partial 16S ribosomal RNA". It matches the Rfam family "Bacterial small subunit ribosomal RNA", at positions 1238 to 1500 of the family's 1533-position model. The record is from RNAcentral.